This 243-nucleotide long non-coding RNA is filed under the name Bos taurus (domestic cattle). RNAcentral's name for it is "long non-coding RNA NONBTAT024021". Lineage: Eukaryota; Metazoa; Chordata; Mammalia; Artiodactyla; Bovidae. The record is from RNAcentral.
AGCGUGUAAAAAAUUAUGGUAUAUUCUUAUACAACCUUCUUCUGUUUAGACUACAGACUUAAAUAAUGGCUCCCUCUAAAUCAGACUUUGGGGAGGUUCACAUGACUUACCAAGUAAAAGCUAAAAUAUAAAUGAGUCCUAUUACAGAAGCUAAGUUUUUGAGACUCUGUGGCAUCUUAAAGUUUUAGAAUAGAAAAGCCUGUGAAAAGGGAAGACUUUAAGUAGAAAAAUUAGUACUGACCU